GGGGAGAUCUGCCUCAGUUAGGGCAGGGAGUGAACCAUGAUAUCCCCAGCUCAGCUCCUCUGCUUCCUGUCCCUCUGGAUCCCAGGUGCCAGUGGAGAAAUUGUGUUGACGCAGUCUCCAGCCUUGCUGUCUUUGUCUCCAGGAGAAAAAGCCACUCUCAACUGCAGAGCCAGUCAGAGUGCUAGCAGCUAUGUAGCCUGGUACCAGCAAAAACCUGGACAGGCUCCCAGGCUCCUCAUCUAUGGUGUAUCCAACAGGGCCACGGGCAUCCCAGCCCGGUUCAGCGGUAGUGGGUCUGGGACAGACUUCACCCUCACCAUCAGCAACCUGGAACGUGAAGAUGUUGCAAUUUAUUACUGUUAUCAGUAUAAUAGCGGGUACCCACAGUAA
Molecule: non-coding RNA, 390 nt
Organism: Lontra canadensis (Northern American river otter)
Lineage: Eukaryota; Metazoa; Chordata; Mammalia; Carnivora; Mustelidae
Source: the annotation of a RefSeq genome assembly